This 450-nucleotide ribosomal RNA is filed under the name uncultured bacterium. RNAcentral's name for it is "bacterial SSU rRNA". It matches the Rfam family "Bacterial small subunit ribosomal RNA", at positions 8 to 460 of the family's 1533-position model. The record is from RNAcentral.
AGAGUUUGAUCAUGGCUCAGAUUGAACGCUGGCGGCAUGCCUUACACAUGCAAGUCGAACGGUAACAGGUCUUCGGAUGCUGACGAGUGGCGAACGGGUGAGUAAUACAUCGGAACGUGCCCGAUCGUGGGGGAUAACGAGGCGAAAGCUUUGCUAAUACCGCAUACGAUCUACGGAUGAAAGCGGGGGAUCUUCGGACCUCGCGCGGACGGAGCGGCCGAUGGCAGAUUAGGUAGUUGGUGGGAUAAAAGCUUUCCAACCCGACGCUCUGUAGCUGGUCUGAGAGGAUGAUCAGCCCCACUGGGACCGAGACACGGCCCAGACUCUUACGGGAGGCUGCAAUGGGCGUCUUUUUCCAGAGAUCCAUCUCUGUGCCGGCCUCCUCGAUUCCUCUGUCUCGUCGUGUGUUACAUGGUACAACACGAGUAUGGCCAUUGAUUACCGGAUUCA